CUUUAUCUAGAUAUUGUAUAUACAUAUGUAAAUUUUAUAUGUAGUAAUUCGUGAUAUGUACAAUUAUGUACAAGUUAGAAUCGUCCUCUUUCUUCUCUAUUGAGUUUCCGUGUAUCUGUAAUUAGUAACAGUAUUUUUAUUUUCAGCUUAUCUUGUGCAAUAGAGGCGGUGCUAAUUCUGCAGUCUUAUUGUUAGCCGAAACAAAAUAUCUGCAUGAAGCAGUACGAAAGAUGAAGCGCCGGCGAAUUUGAUUAUUGACUAUUGAGCGAAGCAGCACGUACGAUACAUAAUCAAGAAAAAUGCCGCAAAAAUUACUUGGUCAAAUUUGUGACAAUUGAACGGAAACUCAAUCGGAUCAUUCAUUUUCUAAAAAAUGAAAAUAAUGUACAACGGAAUGAAAUAGAACAAGACAAUGUGUCGUUGUUACCAAAUUUUCCUCUCACUACAGUUGAACAAACAGAAAUGUUCAAUACAGACAUAACAGAUUGGAAGAUAUUAAUGUUCGGCGACAAUUUAUGAAAAAAAUGGCGCAGUUUGGCGGGGAUACCGUAGCCAAACUUGUAAAAAAUAUAAUGUUGGAAACUAUCGGAUAUGAAGCUGCGGCAGCGUACACGUGGACAGGCCAAAAAAAAAGAUUAUCAUUCAAAACAUCGAAACUGGCUGACACAAUAAUUGCAAUUAUUUUGAAGAAAAAGGAUACUACUACAAUUACUGAAGUGGAAGGAUGUAUUCAAGAGUGGUUGAGACGAUCCGGCGACAGAAAGAGAGGCUUAAACAAGUAAAUAUAUUGUAUGUACCUGAUAUGUUAAAUUUGUCAUUUUCUUUGGAAACUAUUAAUUUUAUAUAAUAUUAAUAUACCUAUAACAUAAAACAUUGAUAUUUUGUACUGAAUAAAACUUAAUCUUCGAUCCAUGGGUGCUGGGAUUGUCUUCUUUCGAGAAUAGCGUUGAUUGAUGCUCUUGAUCAAGCUUCAAUCAAUGGGUGCUGGGACUGUUCUCGAAAGAGGAUAGAGUCCGCAUUGAUCGACGACCAAGAUUAAUCUUCGAUCAAUGGGUGCUGGGACUGUCUUCUUUCGAGAACAGAAUCCGUGUUGAUUGACGCUCUUGAUCGAGCUUCAAUCAAUGGGUGCUGGGGUUGUUCUCGAGAGAGGAUAGAGUCCGCAUUGGUCAACGACCAAAGUUAAUCUUCGAAACUGGACUUGGAAACAAUAAAAGUAAGGUAGAGUCCAAGGUAGAGUAAAAAUUCUCGCAAUUCUGUUGUUUUCCAACGUCUCAAUUCAUCCAGAGAACGUGAUUUUCAGAUCAAACUCCUUCGGUACCUACUUUGUACAUUGCAAUUAAUUUUUCCAAGUCUAUUAUAAGUUUGCUUUCACUUUGAUGUUUGAUAACUACUUAUCCAUAACUGCAAUACUUUUUUCAUGACUCCUAGACAUGACAUAUCAAGUACAUAUAAUUUAAAGAGAACUGUGUAACAUUAGCAGUUGUAUUAACUCGAAAGGAGAUAUAACCAGUAUGACGAUUUUGUGAUUGUAAUAAGUACCUAAUUCUUGUAUACUUUCCACAUCCAAAAAAUCUGUUAUGUGCAAUUUAUUUAAAUAUAAUUAUAUAUGCUUGUUAUAAUUCUAACAAG
Long non-coding RNA from Camponotus floridanus (Florida carpenter ant), 1629 nucleotides. RefSeq lists it as uncharacterized. Lineage: Eukaryota; Metazoa; Arthropoda; Insecta; Hymenoptera; Formicidae. The transcript is spliced from 4 exons. The record is from RefSeq and is a predicted model, not a curated record.